Ochotona curzoniae (black-lipped pika) is the source of this 817-nucleotide long non-coding RNA. RefSeq lists it as uncharacterized. The record is from RefSeq and is a predicted model, not a curated record. The transcript has 3 exons. NCBI's taxonomy places the organism in Eukaryota, Metazoa, Chordata, Mammalia, Lagomorpha, Ochotonidae.
GUCUCUAUCACUCUGCUUUUCAAAUAAAUAAUUCUUCAAAAAGGAAACAUGCUAAGCCCAUCCUCAGAGUUUCUAAAUCAGUAGGCCUAUGGAGAGGCUAAAAAUUAUAUUUCCUAUUGAGGGUCAUUGUUCUGGAAGAACACAUUCAGAAGGAAACAAACCACUAAAUCAUUACAAUCAGAAGUUUUAAAUCAGCUUUUCUUGGACAUGUGAGAGCCAGAGACUUGGCAUUAAUAUUAUUCACUGUUCUAGUGCCUUUUGUCUCCAACUUCCAGAAACCAUGGAACUAAGUAGACCCAGCCUCCCUACUUCUCAUCUUCUAGGGCAGGUCAGCAAGUGCAGGAGCCAGUCUGUAGUCCAUUCACAUUGGUCCUGGAGCCCCAGAAUAGAACAGGCAGAUAUUCUUCUCAACAGUAAAUUAUUAGUAUUAACUAACAUUUAAGAGCUCUGUGAUUUUCUUCAUCUACCGAAGAGGAAAUUGAGGCUUUGAGAUAUGAAAUAGUGUUUCCAGAGUCUCCUAACCAGUAAUUGACAGAGCCAGAGUUUGAACCUGAGUUUGCCUGAUGCCACAGCACACUCUUGUUUUGAUGGGCAGGCUGCCUGCCUCUCCCAGGUGAUCUGGAACAGUCCACAGAGCACAAAGCAAGAAGACACAAGACUAAACCCAAGUAAUAUGGAUCUGAGAUUCUCUUUGGAGAAGAGGCAACCAAGCUAGAGACCUCUAAUGACAGGGUGUUAGUAACCUAAGCAUAAAUGUCACACUCUGUGGUCUCAUUUGCUUCACAGUCAUCAUGUAGGUUCAGAGCAGGUAGUGAGU